RNAcentral lists this ribosomal RNA (492 nucleotides) under uncultured bacterium. RNAcentral describes it as "partial 16S ribosomal RNA". It matches the Rfam family "Bacterial small subunit ribosomal RNA", at positions 899 to 1397 of the family's 1533-position model. The record is from RNAcentral.
ACUCAAAGGAAUAGACGGGGACUCGCACAAGCAGUGGAGCAUGUGGUUUAAUCCGAUACAACGCGUAGAACCUUACCAAGGCUUGACAUGUCUGGCAAAACUGUGGAAACGCAGCGGAGGUUAUCCAGACACAGGUGCUGCAUGGCCGUCGUCAGUUCGUGCCGUGAGGUGUAUGGUUAAGUCCUAUAACGAACGCAACCCUUGGGCUUAGUUGCCAGCAUUUAGUUGGGGACUCUAAGCCGACUGCCUGAGUAAUCAGGAGGAAGGAAAGGAUGACGUCUGGUCGUCAUGGCCCUUAUGCCUUGGGCGACACACGUGCUACAAUGGUUAAGACAAAGCGUCGCCAACCCGCGAGGGGGAGCCAAUCGCAAAAAAUUAAUCUCAGUUCGGAUUGGAGGCUGCAACUCGCCUCCAUGAAGUUGGAAUUGCUAGUAAUCGCAAAUCAGCCAUGUUGCGGUGAAUACGUUCUCGAGUCUUGUACACACCGCCCGU